GACGAACGCUGGCGGCGUGCCUAACACAUGCAAGUCGAACGGAAAGGCCCUGCGUUUGUGGGGUGCUCGAGUGGCGAACGCGUGAGUAACACGUGAGUAACCUGCCCUUGACUUUGGGAUAACUUCAGGAAACUGGGGCUAAUACAGGAUAGGAGAUCAUGCUGCAUGGUGGGGGUUGGAAAGUUUCGGCGGUUUGGGAUGGACUGGCGGCUUAUCAGCUUGUUGGUGGGGUAGUGGCUGACCAAGUGAGUGACGGAUAGGCGACCUGGGAGGGUGGCCGGGGUCCAGGGGCCUACGGGAGGGAGCAGAGGGCAACGUUGGGCAGUGGGGGAAAGUAUGGCACAGUGAGCGGGAGUGUGUGGCGACGGCGUUCGGUUCGUAAAGCCGUCCUUUUGGGUAAGAACCGCUUUCGGCUGAGACGAAGCGGUAGUGACGGUAAUGAGUAAAUAAGCACCGGCUAACUACGUG
RNAcentral lists this ribosomal RNA (468 nucleotides) under uncultured bacterium. Its description in RNAcentral is "partial 16S ribosomal RNA". It matches the Rfam family "Bacterial small subunit ribosomal RNA", at positions 28 to 507 of the family's 1533-position model. The record is from RNAcentral.